Molecule: long non-coding RNA, 548 nt
Organism: Diospyros lotus (date-plum)
Lineage: Eukaryota; Viridiplantae; Streptophyta; Magnoliopsida; Ericales; Ebenaceae
Exons: 3
Source: RefSeq, a predicted model, not a curated record
AAGCUCCUUAGUGGUUGAGAAGCCUAGCUUUUUUUCUUUUCCUUCUAGGCCGCUGGGAAAUUCCCCCAUAUCAUACUUGAAACCGAGUAGGUUACCUUCUAAAGUGCUUGCUUGGUAGUGGCAUAUGCUCUUUCGUGGAAGGCCACCUACCUUUCAGAGUCAACCUAUACCUUCUUUCUUAGUAAUGCCCUUAUCAUUUUUCUUCAUCCUUCAUUCGUAAUGUGCCUGCUGCGAUAGCCUCCUGUGCUGCGAUAUAGCUCGGGCCUCUAGUGAGUGAGAACAUGGGCUUUUCUGGUCUUCAAUGAGUAAAGAAGAGAGCAUGGCCAAUUCUUUCGAUGGUUAGGAGGUAUGCAACCCUUUGUAUACGUGAGAAUCCAAGAUCCCUAUUCAUUGCUACCAACUGUGAUGCAAUAGGACACGACUGAUUUACAAAAGUGGCUUGGUGCAAGACGUAUGGUUGCUACCAUUUGUGGAUCAACUGAAAAGGAGCCUAUCGUAGUUGGGAAACCAUCUACAUUUAUGAUGGAUUUCUUAUUACAGAAGUACGC